GUCUUUUUGAUUUAACAUAUAAAGUCUAACCUGCCCACUGAAAUUUAAAUGGCCGCAGUAAUUUGACUGUGCAAAGGUAGCAUAAUCAUUAGUUUUUUAAUUAAAAGCUUGUAUGAAAGGUUGGACGAGGUAAAAACUGUCUCUGUUUAAUUUAUUUUAGAAUUUAAUUUUUAAGUUAAAAAGCUUAAAUAUUUAUAAAAGACGAGAAGACCCUAUAGAGCUUUAUAAAUUUAAUAUUAAAAUAAAUUUAGGUUUUUAUAUAUUUUAUUUUUAAAUUUAUUUUAUUGGGGUAAUAAAAAGAUUUAAUUAAUUCUUUUUUUUUAUUUAUAUUAAUUUAUAUUAUAUUGAUCCAAUAUUAUUGAUUAUAAGAUUAAGUUACCUUAGGGAUAACAGCGUAAUUUUUUUAAAGAGUUCAUAUCGAUAAAAAAGUUUGCGACCUCGAUGUUGGAUUAAAGAUUAAUUUAGGUGUAGAAGUUUAAAUUUUUGGUCUGUUCGACCAUUAAAUCUUUACAUGAUCUGAGUUCAGACCGGUGUAAGCCAGGUCGGUUUCUAUCUUUAUUAUUUUAAAAUAUUUUAGUACGAAAGGACCAAAUAUUUAAUAUAUUAAUAUUUUUAUUUUUGAAUGUUAUUA
Molecule: ribosomal RNA, 631 nt
Filed under: Bembidion antiquum
Lineage: Eukaryota; Metazoa; Arthropoda; Insecta; Coleoptera; Carabidae
Description: partial large subunit ribosomal RNA
Rfam family: Bacterial large subunit ribosomal RNA (bases 386-544)
Source: RNAcentral